GACGAACGCUGGCGGCGGGCUUAACACAUGCAAGUCGAACGAGAAACUCAGAGCUUGCUCUGAGUGGACAGUGGCGCACGGGUGAGUAACGCGUAGGCAACCUGCCCCUAGAAUGGGAAUAACUUCGGGAAACCGAUGCUAAAACCGAAUAAUAUCUUAUGGUCGCAUGGCCAAUAGAUCAAAACUCCGGUGUCUAGGGAUGGGCCUGCGUGGGAUUAGGUAGUUGGUGAGGUAACGGCUCACCAAGCCGACGAUCCUUAGCUGGUCUGAGAGGAUGAUCAGCCACACUGGCACUGAGACACGGGCCAGACUCCUACGGGAGGCAGCAGUGAGGAAUAUUGCGCAAUGGGGGAAACCCUGACGCAGCCACGCCGCGUGGUGGAUGACACCCCUAUGGGGCGUAAACACCUUUUAUGAGAGAAGAAGGCCCUACUCGGUAGGGUUUGACGGUACCUCAUGAAUAAGCACCGGCUAACUCCGUGCCAGCAGCCGCGGUAAUACGGAGGGUGCAAGCGUUGUCCGGAAUCACUGGGUGUAAAGGGUGUGUAGGCGGAGCUGUAAGUCAGAGGUGAAAUCCUACGGCUCAACCGUAGAACUGCCUUUGAUACUGCAGCCCUUGGGUAUCGGAGAGGUUGCUGGAAUUCGUGGUGUAGCGGUGAAAUGCGCAGAUAUCACGAGGAACACCAGAGGCGUAGGCGGGCAACUGGACGAUUACUGACGCUGAGGCACGAAAGCGUGGGGAGCAAACAGGAUUAGAUACCCUGGUAGUCCACGCCGUAAACGAUGGAUGCUCGGUGUUGCCCCUUUUUUGGGGCAGUGCCUAAGCUAACGCGUUAAGCAUCCCACCUGGGGAGUACGCUCGCAAGAGUGAAACUCAAAGGAAUUGACGC
RNAcentral lists this ribosomal RNA (890 nucleotides) under uncultured Bacteroidota bacterium. RNAcentral's name for it is "bacterial SSU rRNA". It matches the Rfam family "Bacterial small subunit ribosomal RNA", at positions 28 to 916 of the family's 1533-position model. Lineage: Bacteria; Pseudomonadati; Bacteroidota. The record is from RNAcentral.